Molecule: ribosomal RNA, 92 nt
Filed under: Pantoea sesami
Lineage: Bacteria; Pseudomonadati; Pseudomonadota; Gammaproteobacteria; Enterobacterales; Erwiniaceae
Source: RNAcentral
CCACCUGACCCCAUGCCGAACUCAGAAGUGAAACGCCGUAGCGCCGAUGGUAGUGUGGGGUCUCCCCAUGUGAGAGUAGGGAACUGCUAGGC